GCCCGGCUAGCUCAGUCGGUAGAGCAUGAGACUCUUAAUCUCAGGGGUCGUGGGUUCGAGCCUUACGUUGGGCG
Molecule: transfer RNA, 74 nt
Filed under: Alosa alosa (allis shad)
Lineage: Eukaryota; Metazoa; Chordata; Actinopteri; Clupeiformes; Clupeidae
Description: tRNA-Lys
Rfam family: tRNA
About the family: Transfer RNA (tRNA) molecules are approximately 80 nucleotides in length. Their secondary structure includes four short double-helical elements and three loops (D, anti-codon, and T loops).
Source: RNAcentral